RNAcentral lists this ribosomal RNA (468 nucleotides) under uncultured bacterium. RNAcentral's name for it is "partial 16S ribosomal RNA". It matches the Rfam family "Bacterial small subunit ribosomal RNA", at positions 28 to 507 of the family's 1533-position model. The record is from RNAcentral.
GACGAACGCUGGCGGCGUGCUUAACACAUGCAAGUCGAACGGAAAGGCCCUGCUUUUGUGGGGUGCUCGAGUGGCGAACGGGUGAGUAAAACGUGAGUAACCUGCCCUUGACUUUGGGAUAACUUCAGGAAACUGGGGCUAAUACCGGAUAGGAGCUCCUGCUGCAUGGUGGGGGUUGGAAAGUUUCGGCGGUUGGGGAUGGACUCGCGGCUUAUCAGCUUGUUGGUGGGGUAGUGGCUUACCAAGUCUUUGACGGGUAGCCGGCCUGAGAGGCUGACCGGCCACAUUGGGACUGAGGUACGGCCCAGACUCCUACGGGAGGCAGAGGUGGGGAAUAUUGCACAAUGGGCGGAAGCCUGAUGCAGCAACGCCGCGUGCGGGAUGACGGCCUUCGGGUUGUAAACCGCUGUCGCCGGUGACAAAGCGGUAGUGACGGUAAUGGGUAAAGAAGCACCGGCUAACUACGUG